GACGAACGCUGGCGGCGUGCUUAACACAUGCAAGUCGAACGGAAAGGCCCUGCUUUUGUGGGGUGCUCGAGUGGCGAACGGGUGAGUAACACGUGAGUAACCUGCCCUUGACUUUGGGAUAACUUCAGGAAACUGGGGCUAAUACCGGAUAGGAGCUCCUGCUGCAUGGUGGGGGUUGGAAAGUUUCGGCGGUUGGGGAUGGACUCGCGGCUUAUCAGUUUGUUGGUGGGGUAGUGGCUUACCAAGGCUUUGACGGGUAGCCGGCCUGAGAAGGUGACCGGCCACAUUGGGACUGAGAUACGGCCCAGACUCCUACGGGAGGCAGCAGUGGGGAAUAUUGCACAAUGGGCGGAAGCCUGAUGCAGCAACGCCGCGUGCGGGAUGACGGCCUUCGGGUUGUAAACCGCUUUCGCCUGUGACGAAGCGUGAGUGACGGUAAUGGGUAAAGAAGCACCGGCUAACUACGUGCCAGCAGCCGCGGUGAUACGUAGGGUGCGAGCGUUGUCCGGAUUUAUUGGGCGUAAAGGGCUCGUAGGUGGUUGAUCGCGUCGGAAGUGUAAUCUUGGGGCUUAACCCUGAGCGUGCUUUCGAUACGGGUUGACUUGAGGAAGGUAGGGGAGAAUGGAAUUCCUGGUGGAGCGGUGGAAUGCGCAGAUAUCAGGAGGAACGCCAGUGGCGAAGGCGGUUCUCUGGGCCUUUCCUGACGCUGAGGAGCGAAAGCGUGGGGAGCGAACAGGCUUAGAUACCCUGGUAGUCCACGCUGUAAACGGUGGGUACUAGGUGUGGGGUCCAUUCCACGGGUUCCGUGCCGUAGCUAACGCUUUAAGUACCCCGCCUGGGGAGUACGGCCGCAAGGCUAAAACUCAAAGGAAUUGACGGGGCCCCGCACAAGCGGCGGAGCAUGCGGAUUAAUUCGAUGCAACGCGUAGAACCUUACCUGGGUUUGACAUGGAUCGGGAGUGCUCAGAGAUGGGUGUGCCUCUUUUGGGGUCGGUUCACAGGUGGUGCAUGGCUGUCGUCAGCUCGUGUCGUGAGAUGUUGGGUUAAGUCCCGCAACGAGCGCAACCCUUGUUCACUGUUGCCAGCACGUUAUGGUGGGGACUCAGUGGAGACCGCCGGGGUCAACUCGGAGGAAGGUGGGGAUGACGUCAAGUCAUCAUGCCCCUUAUGUCCAGGGCUUCACGCAUGCUACAAUGGCUGGUACAGAGAGUGGCGAGCCUGUGAGGGUGAGCGAAUCUCGGAAAGCCGGUCUCAGUUCGGAUUGGGGUCUGCAACUCGACCUCAUGAAGUCGGAGUCGCUAGUAAUCGCAGAUCAGCAACGCUGCGGUGAAAACGUUCCCGGGGCU
RNAcentral lists this ribosomal RNA (1346 nucleotides) under uncultured bacterium. RNAcentral describes it as "partial 16S ribosomal RNA". It matches the Rfam family "Bacterial small subunit ribosomal RNA", at positions 28 to 1381 of the family's 1533-position model. The record is from RNAcentral.